Molecule: ribosomal RNA, 465 nt
Filed under: Vreelandella stevensii
Lineage: Bacteria; Pseudomonadati; Pseudomonadota; Gammaproteobacteria; Oceanospirillales; Halomonadaceae
Description: partial 16S ribosomal RNA
Rfam family: Bacterial small subunit ribosomal RNA
Source: RNAcentral
CCUACGGGCGGCUGCAGUGGGGAAUAUUGGACAAUGGGGGCAACCCUGAUCCAGCCAUGCCGCGUGUGUGAAGAAGGCCCUCGGGUUGUAAAGCACUUUCAGUGAGGAAGAACGCCUGGUGGUUAAUACCCAUCAGGAAAGACAUCACUCACAGAAGAAGCACCGGCUAACUCCGUGCCAGCAGCCGCGGUAAUACGGAGGGUGCGAGCGUUAAUCGGAAUUACUGGGCGUAAAGCGCGCGUAGGUGGCUUGAUAAGCCGGUUGUGAAAGCCCCGGGCUCAACCUGGGAACGGCAUCCGGAACUGUCAAGCUAGAGGGCAGGAGAGGAAGGUAGAAUUCCCGGUGUAGCGGUGAAAUGCGAAGAGAGCGGGAGGAAUACCAGUGGCGAAGGCGGCCUUCUGGACUGACACUGACACUGAGGUGCGAAAGCGUGGGUAGCAAACAGGAUUAGAUACCCUGGUAGUC